CCCAGCUCUCCUCGUCGUCAUAAUCCGGUUGGUCUUCCCACAGUUUCGAUUUAAUGACCAAGUCCCUCCACUUUGGUUGAAAACCUAUUUUGUUGCUUGAAGUUGAAGGUUCCCCAUACCCUUUGACAAUGUUGUUCAUAGGAGGAGAGAAUGUGGUUGGAGAACUUUGAAGUUUGGGCUGUAUUUGCAUAUUGGUACCAUUAACAUGAGAUGUAUUUUUUGCCUCUGUAUUCUGUGAACUACAAAGCUGCAAAUUUUCUCUGAAGCAUUUUCCU
This 275-nucleotide long non-coding RNA is filed under the name Nicotiana benthamiana. RNAcentral describes it as "long non-coding RNA (NBEN_LNC013247)". Lineage: Eukaryota; Viridiplantae; Streptophyta; Magnoliopsida; Solanales; Solanaceae. The record is from RNAcentral.